GAGACCUGCGUUCCCUCCACCAACCACCAUCAUCAUUGAGGGCAAAAAAAGAUAGAAACUGAUCCUCGUUCAGUGAGAGACUCAUGUAUAGAUAACUACUGUUAUCGUUUUUUAUGCUAGAUUAUCAGUACAGUAAUGAUGAGGAUCAUUAAAAUGCAUAGGCCGAUAUGAGAAAGUCAAUCAAAUCUUUUCUGAUUGUAAUAUUCUAUGCAGAUUGAUUGACAUUUUCAGAGCAUGAUUCAUUUGGACAAGAGGAAUACCUAUGUAAGAAUGUUGUUCAUUGACUACAGCUAUAGCUCAGCAUUUAACACCAUAGAACCCUCGUUAUUAAACUCGAGAUCUUGGGUCUCGACCGCGCCCUGUGGAACUGGGUCCUGGACUUUCUGACGGGCCGCCCCCAGGUGGUGAAGGUGGAAAACAACAUCUCCAUCCUGCUGAUCCUCAUCACUGGGGCCCGCAACGGUGCGUUCUCAGCCCUUUCCUUUACUCCCUGUUCGCCCAUAACUGCGUGGCCAUGCAACAACCACCCGAGCCACUGCCUGUUCACCCCGCUAUCAUCCAGAGGGCGAGGAAGCACAAACUCUUUGCUGGUUCUUUGAAAUGUAACAACAUGACAGACGACUGUUCCAAAACAACCAGUAACAUCCCUUCGUUAACCAUGGAGGUUGAUGCUGCUUUUCUCCGAUCCUUGAGGGGUGUCCUUAAAUUAGUAGAGAUGGGGACUAUGUUUGUAGCAUUUGUGUGUUUUGCGGUAGCAUCCAGGCCCAAAUACAUUGCAGCUACAUGCAUGGAGUUUGUGAUCACAUUCUCCCUGCUUCUGCUGUACACACUGAAGUUGAACAAGAAGCUGACUCUGUUCUUUUGGCCUCUCGUUGAUUUGUUCAACUCACUGUUUGCAGCAGUCUUCAUACUUAUCCUGAGUCUGAUAGCAGUGUCCACUUACACAGUGACAGGGACCCUGGGUGGAGGGGUGAGAUAAAAACAAAUAAAAACUUAUCCUGAGUCUGAUAGCAGUGUCCACUUACACAGUGACAGGGACCCUGGGUGGAGGGAUAGUGGGUUUCAUAGCAACAGGCCUGUGGUGUGUGGAUGGUUACAUGCUUUUCAAGAGGAUCACAUUCAAUCAACCAAGAACAGCAGCAACUGGCACUGUGAAGUGAAGACACCACAAUUGUCUCCUCCCAUGCUCACUCUCUUAUAUGUCAGUCCUUGCAUUUAUACCUGUAGGUUUAAAGGGGCAAUCAGCAGUUGAAACAAUAACAAAGCUUGGCCCCGGCCCGUUUUAGUAAAAACCUGAAGGAUAUAAGGCUGGAGAAAUGUAACCACUCUCAAAUUCAUAGACAGAGCAAUGUAUGCAAGGACUGACCAUCAAUGAUAUCAACAUGAUAGUUUUAACCAUGUUUCAAGGCUAUAUAGUGUUUGUUUACAUUUUGUUUGUUUACAAUUAUUGGAGUAAAACAAGCUUAUAUUUUGGGUUCUGAUGGUGUAUGACAGUUGAACUAAACUCAUGAGGCAUUUAUAUAUGUCUACAUAUAUCAUUCAUUUCUAAAUCAAAAAAUGGAUGUAUCAACUGCAGAUUUCCCCUUUGUUUGUAUAGCUUAAUCCAUGCAACAACACAAUUAUCAUGUAUAUAAAAUAAAUACACCUUUGAAAUCUA
RNA transcript from Salvelinus fontinalis (brook trout), 1657 nucleotides. It is a transcript of the gene named chemokine-like factor, with no coding region annotated. The transcript is spliced from 5 exons. Lineage: Eukaryota; Metazoa; Chordata; Actinopteri; Salmoniformes; Salmonidae. The record is from RefSeq and is a predicted model, not a curated record.